Molecule: ribosomal RNA, 460 nt
Filed under: uncultured bacterium
Lineage: Bacteria
Description: partial 16S ribosomal RNA
Rfam family: Bacterial small subunit ribosomal RNA
Source: RNAcentral
CCUACGGGUGACAGCAGUGAGGAAUAUUGGUCAAUGGACGAGAGUCUGAACCAGCCAAGUAGCGUGAAGUAUGACUGCCCUAUGGGUUGUAAACUUCUUUUAUAUGGGAAUAAAACGUUCCACGUGUGGGAUUUUGUAUGUACUAUAUGAAUAAGGAUCGGCUAACUCCGUGCCAGCAGCCGCGGUAAUACGGAGGAUCCGAGCGUUAUCCGGAUUUAUUGGGUUUAAAGGGAGCGUAGGUGGAUUGUUAAGUCAGUUGUGAAAGUUUGCGGCUCAACCGUAAAAUUGCAGUUGAAACUGGCAGUCUUGAGUACAGUAGAGGUAGGCGGAAUUCGUGGUGUAGCGGUGAAAUGCUUAGAUAUCACGAAGAACUCCGAUUGCGAAGGCAGUUCACUAGACUGCAACUGACACUGAGGCUCGAAAGUGUGGGUAUCAAACAGGAUUAGAUACCCUGGUAGUC